AAACUAACGAUAUUUUUUUAGAAAAACAUAAAAUAAGAAAAUUAGUUGCCAAUGCCUCUCCUCUCCUGCACGCAGUGUUUUCCUUCAACAUAAUUAUGCUUUAAUUAUGUAGACUUUAUGAUAUCUAGUAUUUCAGAUUUCAUUGGUUCUCUAAGGCAAAAAUGCUUUUUCAAAAGUUGAGUUCUAAAGCUCGAAAAAUGCCGACAUUAAAAAGAUAAAUGGGAGGAUAAACCUCAGUGUUUUUCCCAGCAUUUUUCCUUAUAUCGUAUGCUUAUGUUGUAUUGAAUUACCCUAGACUAGCUUCAAACGCGGAAAAUUUAUUCGGAAGAUAAUCCCUGAGACUUAACAGGGAUUUGUUUCUUAAAAGUGGAACAUGUAGGAAAACCCUUUCUUUUUUUUGGAAAUUUGGUGACUAAUUUUAUCAAUAACAUGUUAUCAAAUCGCCCCUCCUCAUAUCUAACUGCUAUAUAAACUGAAGUAAGCACUUCACAUCAAACAUUUACAAAAAUGGCCCAGUGUCAUCCACAUCACCACCACCACCACCACGACAAAUACGCAGUUAUCAGAAAUCAAAGAUCUGGUCUUGUAUUAGACGCUAGUGACUGUGUGGUCAAAAUUCAACAUUUUACGGGAUUUCCAGCGCAGUUAUGGAAGUUAGAAGAUGCAUGUCCUGGCAAAUUUUUCAUUGUUAACAAAGGCAACGGGAAAGUUUUGGAUAUUGAUGGAGGUCUGAAAAACGGCUCAAAUUUACUUACAUAUCAGAAACACGGUGGCUCAAAUCAGCAAUGGCAUGUUAAUUCCGAUGGUACCAUUGUGAGUGCCGAUGGAAAUUUGGCUGUGGACAUAUGCCGCGAAAACUACACGCCUGGAAAUAAUUUAAUUGCAUAUCGCAAGCAUGGGGGAGCCAAUCAGCAAUUCACCUUCCAAUAUCAAUAGUUAACUUGUAGUUUUGCUUCCGAAUAAAGUCAUUUUAUAACUUU
This is an RNA transcript of Tribolium castaneum (red flour beetle), 980 nucleotides long. RefSeq lists it as uncharacterized. The transcript has 2 exons. The record is from RefSeq and is a predicted model, not a curated record. Lineage: Eukaryota; Metazoa; Arthropoda; Insecta; Coleoptera; Tenebrionidae.